Molecule: ribosomal RNA, 353 nt
Filed under: uncultured bacterium
Lineage: Bacteria
Description: bacterial SSU rRNA
Rfam family: Bacterial small subunit ribosomal RNA
Source: RNAcentral
GAUGAACGCUAGCUACAGGCUUAACACAUGCAAGUCGAGGGGAAACGAUAUUGGAAGCUUGCUUCUGAUAGGCGUCGACCGGCGCACGGGUGAGUAACGCGUAUCCAACCUGCCCAUCACUUGGGGAUAACCUUGUGAAAGUAAGACUAAUACCCAAUGACGUCUCUAGAAGACAUCUGAAAGAGAUUAAAGAUUUAUCGGUGAUGGAUGGGGAUGCGUCUGAUUAGCUUGUUGGCGGGGUAACGGCCCACCAAGGCGACGAUCAGUAGGGGUUCUGAGAGGAAGGUCCCCCACAUUUGGAACCUGAGACACGGGUCCAAAACUCCCUACGGGAGGCAGCAGUGAGGAAUAUU